CAGAGCCCAAGCAGCCUGUGACCAUAGAGGCAGGAAACUGUGACACUGGAGGCAGGCAGGGUGUGGGGUUUAUUCUUGCUUGCCUGUAUGCUCGCGGUCACCACCAAGUACUAAGGAAUAAAUGGGCCAGAGUUAUCACACUGAACAUAACAACAUCAGCACCUGCUUCCCCCAUGCAAACAUCGCAAGCACCCCAAAUCUGCCGGAACCUCCCAGGGUCUGUACCAGCCUAGUUUGCCUGUCACUGCAGAGACUUUCAACCGCCCAGCCCUGGCUGACUCCAUCAAGCAGUCAAACCUCCAGAAGCGAUCCUGACCAGAUCUUGCUCCUGAUGCCUGAAGGCUCCUGCCAUUUGUGAUGCAAACAAUAGUCAUUCCAGCCCUACGUCUUGUCAGAACCCCCUCCUACGAUCUGCAUUAUAGCAGCAAACAAAAUGGACGAGAAAGAAAGCCUGUCUUCAGAGAGCUUGUAUUCAAGGCUAACAAACUUCCUUACUAUCAUUUACUGUGCGGCUGAGGACCCAAAUAAAGCCUCAUCUUCCUUAGCA
This 547-nucleotide long non-coding RNA is filed under the name Mus spicilegus (steppe mouse). Its description in RNAcentral is "lncRNA (ENSMSIG00000009938.1)". The record is from RNAcentral. Lineage: Eukaryota; Metazoa; Chordata; Mammalia; Rodentia; Muridae.